Molecule: ribosomal RNA, 461 nt
Filed under: uncultured Lactobacillus sp.
Lineage: Bacteria; Bacillati; Bacillota; Bacilli; Lactobacillales; Lactobacillaceae
Description: bacterial SSU rRNA
Rfam family: Bacterial small subunit ribosomal RNA
Source: RNAcentral
CUUGCACCUGAUUGAUAAAACAAUCGGAAUGAGUGGCGGACGGGUGAGUAACACGUGGGUAACCUGCCCAGAAUGGGGGGAUAACAUUUGGAAACAGAUGCUAAUACCGCAUAAUAGAUAGAACCACAUGGUUCUAUUUUGAAAGAUGGCCUUUGUGCUAUCACUUCUGGAUGGACCCGCGGUGUAUUAGCUAGUUGGUAAGGUAACGGCUUACCAAGGCAAUGAUACAUAGCCGAACUGAGAGGUUGAUCGGCCACAAUGGGACUGAGACACGGCCCAUACUCCUACGGGAGGCAGCAGUAGGGAAUCUUCCACAAUGGGCGCAAGCCUGAUGGAGCAACACCGCGUGAGUGAAGGAGGGUUUCGGCUCGUAAAACUCUGUUGUUAAAGAAGAACGUAUCUAAGAGUAACUGCUUAGGUAGUGACGGUAUUUAACCAGAAAGCCACGGCUAACUACGUGU